Molecule: long non-coding RNA, 577 nt
Filed under: Homo sapiens (human)
Lineage: Eukaryota; Metazoa; Chordata; Mammalia; Primates; Hominidae
Description: HSALNT0132718
Source: RNAcentral
ACAGGUUUCAGCUAGGACCUACAAAGUGAAAAGGACACCUCCUAUAAUAUUUAGCUAGACGGUUCAGAAUUUAUACCUUGUCUCGUCUUUGCUGUUCUGUCUUUAACAUGUAGCAUAAGCCACUCCUGCCUGUAGACACACACACUCAUUCUGCCUUGUUGUGCUGGGCCGUCAGCAGGAACCACUCUUAACUCUAGCUCCAUGUGAGCUCUCUUCCAGGAAGUAAUAGAGCUGGGAUCUCACCAUCGCCAUCACUGUGACGCUGCUGAGGCAGGUUCAGAAAAAACUUGAAUGUCACGCUGGAGGGUGUGGUCUUUAUUCUGCAGGCAGAGGCUUCAAAGCUCAACCACAGCAGGUGCCAGACCAUCUCUGCAGAACCAGUUUGGCCACCAUCACUCAUCAUGCUCCUCCAGGCUCCAUAAGAAAAAGUGCAAAAAUUCCCUAGGAAGAUCAGGGCAGAGACAUCCCUCUAGAAAGAGUCUUCUGCCAUGGUGUGGCCUCCCCAUUUUCCCGGUAUCUCCCAGGGCUCUUUGUACAAGGCGGGCUCUGCAGAGAGACAGUAAAAACCAACCUGAUU